UAGGGAAUCUUCCACAAUGGACGCAAGUCUGAUGGAGCAACGCCGCGUGAGUGAAGAAGGUUUUCGGACCGUAAAGCUCUGUUGUUGGUGAAGAAGGAUAGAGGUAGUAACUGGCCCUUUAUUUGACGGUAAUCAACCAGAAAGUCACGGCUAACUACGUGCCAGCAGCCGCGGUAAAUCGUAGGUGGCAAGCGUUGUCCGGAUUUAUUGGGCGUAAAGCGAGCGCAGGCGGAAGAAUAAGUCUGAUGUGAAAGCCCUCGGCUUAACCGAGGAAUCGCAUCGGAAACUGUUUUCUUGAGUGCAGAAGAGGAGAGUAGAACUCCAUGUGUAGCGGUGGAAUGCGUAGAUAUAUGGAAGAAUACCAGUGGCGAAGGCGGCUCUCUGGUCUGCAACUGACGCUGAGGCUCGAAAGCAUGGGUAGCGAACAGGAUUAGAUACCCUGGUAGUCCAUGCCGUAAACGAUGAGUGCUAAGUGUUGGGAGGCUUCCGCCUCUCAGUGCUGCAGCUAACGCAUUAAGCACUCCGCCUGGGGGAGUACGACCGCAA
Molecule: ribosomal RNA, 546 nt
Filed under: uncultured bacterium
Lineage: Bacteria
Description: partial 16S ribosomal RNA
Rfam family: Bacterial small subunit ribosomal RNA
Source: RNAcentral